AGGACGAACGCUGGCGGCGUGCUUAACACAUGCAAGUCGAGCGGUAAGGCCUUUCGGGGUACACGAGCGGCGAACGGGUGAGUAACACGUGGGUGAUCUGCCCUGCACUUCGGGAUAAGCCUGGGAAACUGGGUCUAAUACCGGAUAUGACCUCAGGCUGCAUGACUUGGGGUGGAAAGAUUUAUCGGUGCAGGAUGGGCCCGCGGCCUAUCAGCUUGUUGGUGGGGUAAUGGCCUACCAAGGCGACGACGGGUA
This 255-nucleotide ribosomal RNA is filed under the name uncultured soil bacterium. RNAcentral describes it as "partial 16S ribosomal RNA". It matches the Rfam family "Bacterial small subunit ribosomal RNA", at positions 26 to 285 of the family's 1533-position model. The record is from RNAcentral.